GACUUGUGGAGCUUCUACUGUAAGUGGUGUUUAUGUACCUGACUUUAUUGAAAAUGUUUCCAUUUUUGCACUUCCUCAGGGAAUGAUUCUUUGAAACAUUGAUGGACAAACUCCUGAAUAUUUAAAAUCAUCUGUAGACCUUUCUCAACUUUUUUUCCUUUCUUUUCUUUCUUUCCUUUUUAAGUGUUAUUUUGGAAUAUUGUGCUCACAUAUUUUAAUUUGGAAUUAGCAAAUAUUAUUCUCUACACAUUCCCAUUUAGUCUGGAUACAUGGUUAGUUAUUGUUUUUUGGUUUAUUUUAUGGCAUCCAUUAGGUUAUAACUAGAUGAUAGCAUGUUAAAUGUUGCUGAUCUAACUUUUUCUUCUGUAGUCAUCCAUCAACAACAGUCGUUGU
RNAcentral lists this unclassified non-coding RNA (393 nucleotides) under Hevea brasiliensis (rubber tree). The record is from RNAcentral. Lineage: Eukaryota; Viridiplantae; Streptophyta; Magnoliopsida; Malpighiales; Euphorbiaceae.